CAAAUUUUUUUCUUAGAUUAUUUAAAUUUUGUGAUUUAUUAUUAUUUUUUAUUUAUUUAAAUGUUAAGUGUGAUGAAUUGUUUUAUUUAAAUGUUGUUUAUAGUUGUUGUUUGUCUUAUUUGAUUGUUUGUUAUUUUAUUUAAUUGUUAAAAUUGUUUGGUAUAAUCUUUUUGAAUUUAAUUGCUUGUUUGGUUAUUUAUUUUAAUAUGUGAAUAAUUGUGUAACAUGUUUAUUUAACCAUUAGUGUUAAAUUUUAAAUAAGUGUGACAAUUAAUGUGAUUAUGUGAGAUUUGGUUGAAUGCACUAAGGUGCAUGGUAGAUAGUAAUGUACUCUAGUGAUCUAGUGUGUGCAAGUACAUGGCAAUAAGGUGCACAUGUGUGGAUUUUCUACACAUUUUAAAUUAUCAUAUAUUAUAUAUAAUUGAUUGAUUUUAUUUAAAUGAAAGAAAAAUAAAUAAGAAGGAAGAAAAGAGGCAAGUAAGUGGCGUGUAGCACAUUAUGGGAUUGAUUGAUAUGUUUUCCAAUUUUUUUUUAGUGAAUAAAGUUAGAUUGGAUAAGAUAAUCAAUUUGGGGAAAUCACUAUUAUUCCAAUCAAUUAUCAUAAAAGAAAAUUAAAAUAAAAUUAAAGGAAAAUAGAGAAGAAAGGAAACUUGCCAUUUUCUUUUAGUGGUGGCUUUAUGGAAAUGAGAAGUUAAAAAGGGGAUUAUGAAGGGAAUAGGCCAUUUUGGCCGUGACAUCUAGAGAGGGUAGAGAGAGAGGGAGGCGAGCUAGAGAGAGAGAAAGGAAGGCUGCCAUAUUUUUCUAGAGAAGAAGAAGAAAAGAAAGAGAAGGAGAAGAGGGUUUCGAACCCUAGGUGACAAGGUUUUCUUGCUAGAGUGUUCUUGAUUCAACAAUCAAGAGAGGUAAUGGUUUUUCUUAGCCUAUAUAUUGGUUUUGAUGGGUUUAUCUUUGAGGUUGUUGAUGGUGAUGUUAAUGGUUUGAUUAUUGUAGGAUUGGUGAUUAUGAUUUGUAUUUUUAAGGGAAUAUGUUUUGUUUAAAAAGGGCUCAUGGGAAUGAUUGGGAAAAUGGAUUUAAUGGGG
Long non-coding RNA from Humulus lupulus (European hop), 1079 nucleotides. RefSeq lists it as uncharacterized. The record is from RefSeq and is a predicted model, not a curated record. NCBI's taxonomy places the organism in Eukaryota, Viridiplantae, Streptophyta, Magnoliopsida, Rosales, Cannabaceae. The transcript is spliced from 2 exons.